Molecule: ribosomal RNA, 550 nt
Filed under: uncultured bacterium
Lineage: Bacteria
Description: bacterial SSU rRNA
Rfam family: Bacterial small subunit ribosomal RNA
Source: RNAcentral
UAGGGAAUCUUCGGCAAUGGACGGAAGUCUGACCGAGCAACGCCGCGUGAGUGAAGAAGGUUUUCGGAUCGUAAAGCUCUGUUGUAAGAGAAGAACGAGUGUGAGAGUGGAAAGCUCACACUGUGACGGUAUCUUACCAGAAAGGGACGGCUAACUACGUGCCAGCAGCCGCGGUAAUACGUAGGUCCCGAGCGUUGUCCGGAUUUAUUGGGCGUAAAGCGAGCGCAGGCGGUUAGAUAAGUCUGAAGUUAAAGGCUGUGGCUUAACCAUAGUACGCUUUGGAAACUGUUUAACUUGAGUGCAAGAGGGGAGAGUGGAAUUCCAUGUGUAGCGGUGAAAUGCGUAGAUAUAUGGAGGAACACCGGUGGCGAAAGCGGCUCUCUGGCUUGUAACUGACGCUGAGGCUCGAAAGCGUGGGGAGCAAACAGGAUUAGAUACCCUGGUAGUCCACGCCGUAAACGAUGAGUGCUAGGUGUUAGACCCUUUCCGGGGUUUAGUGCCGCAGCUAACGCAUUAAGCACCCCGCCUGGGGAGUACGACCGCAAGGUUG